RNAcentral lists this long non-coding RNA (4042 nucleotides) under Cottoperca gobio. RNAcentral's name for it is "lncRNA (ENSCGOG00000021745.1)". Lineage: Eukaryota; Metazoa; Chordata; Actinopteri; Perciformes; Bovichtidae. The record is from RNAcentral.
UGUAAAACGUAUUAAGAAAACAGAGCGAGAGAGAGAGCAGCCCAUGCUUAUAGGUGCUUACUACUUCUCACUGUAUUCAGUCUCCUUCUUGUGUCAAAGAUGCAGGUUGUUAGUGGUGGACAAUCACUUUGGAUAUAUACUCUGCUUAUCACUUCUCUACAACUUUGGGGAAGACUUUCAGCUUCCACUUCCUCUACCACUCUUCCGGCACCUAAACUUGACAUCUAUUCGAGGUCAAAGGACUCAGUGGUUUUGGUCUGCCGGGCCCCAGAGGGUCGCCGAGGGGUUCAGUUCAUGUUGUAUGAAGUCAGAGAAAUGGUGGACUCUCAGGAGCUGCAGUCUGCUGCUGAAGAGGUUCUGUUCACUGUGAGGGUAAAGGAAGGGGAUUCAGUGCAGCUCUUCUGCUGUCUGUACAGGGAACAGGCUGGUCCUUACAGUGUGUUUAGUCCAUAUUUGCAGCUGGAGCACACAAGAGAUGACGCUCCUACUCGCUCCAUGCCCUCUUUCCCAACUCCAGUCUUGUCUGUGAAUCCCUCUACUGGUAGGGUAAAACGUGGGGACAUGUUGUCGUUCAGCUGCUCAGUCCCUCUUCUACCCCAGUCCCAGUCCCAGUCUAGAUAUAACAGAAAACCAGUGGCAUUUCUUUUGCUGAGGGCCGCUAAGCGAACAGGGAUGACAUCUGUAAUCCUCCAGCCUUUGGCCAGUCAGAUAUCAAACCCUGACCCCCAGCCCGGAGUCUUCACUGUGGGGCCAGUGAGGGGAGGAGAGGAGGGCGAGUACACCUGCCUUUACCAGCUCACCAAAAAAAGGGGAUUGGUUAAUUCAACUGUCAGCAACAUGGUUCAAAUCACUAUUACAGACGCGUUGCCAGUUCCCACCCUUGUCUUCCAGCACCAGACGGACGUGUGGCAUUUGCUUUGCACAGGCUCUCCUGCUUACCCCGGUGCUGUGUUCUCCCUCUACCUGGAUGAUAAUGAAUUUCCUGUUGCCACUCAACAUGCCACCUUGAUCAAUCAUCAUGCCACCUUCUCAGUGCCUGUCCAGGACACUCCAGUGGCUUUUUACCAGUGCCAGUACGAUGUCCUCCUGGUAGAGAAAUGGAGCAACUCGGAGCGCAGCCUCCCUUUGGCUGUGACCAGAGGAAUUCCUCCUCCAUCAUCAACAGAUAUGUUCGGUGUGGACUGGCCUCUCGUACUGGGCUCUUUCUCUGUUGUGGUUUUGUUCCUCUGCUCAGUGGCCCUCGUGGUUGUGGUAGCACGCAGGAAAGUAAAAGCAGCGGCCGAGGAAAAAAAGAAAAGACAGGAAGCACAGUUCUGGACUCAAGUUCAUGCUAAGGACCAUGUUGUUGACCUUCCACUCAGGCGUACAAGCUGCACCUCUCAGGUAAUUAUUAAUGAAUACCUUAAUCUACAAUCGGUUAUACAAAAUCUUGAGUGAUUUAUCCCCUUUGAUUAAGAAAUAGCUUCUUUUACCUUUGUACUUUCCAUAACAACACUGUGAAUUAAAGGAUAAGUCUGGCUGGCUCAAUACUUUCAGACUUUCACAGUCUGUCUGUGUCCCGCAGCCCCAUCCCCAUUGGUUCCUAUUGGAUAAUCUAAAACAGCUGGACACAUCAGUUCUUGGCAAACAGUACUCAAAUAGGAGUAAAUACUACAUUUUUAGAGUUUCAGCACUUUCAGCAGUGCAUUAAUAUGCAUUUUGUGAUUUCAGUAUUUACAACAGCAGGACGAUGUUUGGAUACUUCAUCAAUUCAUUGAUGGUUUUGGUCUUUUCAUGGGAUUUGUUGACAAUAACAAAAACAUCCGCUAAGCAUGUUUUACUUUGCAAUAGCAAUGUUAUGCAUUUGAACACAAAAAUAAGGCAGAUCAUGUGCAGUUUUCUGAGUCCGCCUCUUUCUUUUGGUAUUUCUGGUAUUUCUGCAGCCUGUACAGUAUGUUUCUCCUGUAGGUUCACUUUGACAAACAACUGUAAACUUCCCUGAUCCCUGCUGUAAACAAACACACACAUACAUGCACAAAUAGACACACAUACACACACACACACACACACACACACACAUACACACACACUGCCAAUCACCAAGCAUGCUGUCAACCCACAUAUAUUUCUCGUUCGUGCGGUAGCGCAGGGUUUGGGUGUGCCUCUCAUUAGCUGUAAUCACAUUUAUUAAUUAGCUCGAUGACAGCCUCUCAUUAGACUAAAGUCUCUCUCCAGACUCUCUCUUUCUCUCUGAGUUACUGAAUAGCCAUCUUAUAGGACAGCAUGCUGUCAUCGCCAGCUGAUGGAAAGACUAACCUGCUAUCAGGAAACAGCCACAGCAGGAGCUGAAUAUUUAACAUGAACAGUGAUCUGGAGUGUCCUCGUCUUACCUUUAACUUAAAGAGCAGUAAUUUCAUCAGAAAUCACACCUGUUUUUUGGUAUAUGUUGGUGCUGUUUUAUUACACUGUGUCGCUUCACAGAUUAGACUGCACUUUGAGUUUUAAAACAUAUUUAAAAUGAAGUCGGUAAACAGUAAGUCAGAUGAAUUGGUACAACUAUAUUUAUUGAGGUUUGCUUUAGAGAAACACUUCAGCCUUCAUCGAGGCCCAUAUGAAGAUGGGAGGUAGGAUCUCUCCGGAAAGGACUGAGUUGCUGUAGGAAUGCAGGCAGAAUCAGACGUUUAUGGUGAGUUAAAUUAGAACAGGAGGACAUAGCAGAAUGUAGGAGAACUUUAUUUAACUUUUGCUUUGAAUAGUAGACGGUUUUUUCUUGAACAUUUUUAUUUUCGUCUUUAUUUGACAGAUUAGUGUAGAAGUGGAGGAGAGCGAGAGAGAGUCCCAAGGCUGGACUCAAACCCAGGACGAUGCUGUUGUAAAUCAUGUGCUGUAACCACUCGGCUACCAAGGCACUCCAUUAACUCAAUAGUUAAUAAUUAUAUUAUUUAUUACUCCAAAGACUAAAAGCAUAUUUCAUCUACAAAACAAUGCUGAAAAAGAAGAAUGUAGACCCCAUCAUGUUCUUGGAGUUUCCGAAAAUGGGACAUUUUAGGGAUGAUAUAUCGGCAGUGAUGAAAGCGAUACUAGGGCAUGAAAUACCCAAGAUGAUGUGUUGUAAUUAGAUACCCAGUCACAGAGGAACCUGUUCAAAAGUAAAAGCAGUGGUAUGAUAUGUACGAUCUCAAAUGAAAUGACAUUAUGCUGAGAUCUUUAACAUCUUGUAUGUGUGUGUUCUGUGUGUGUUUGUGUGUGUUUUGUGUGCAGGAAUGGGCCAGUGUAGACACAGAGACAGCCUCCAGAUCCCCUUUAUGGAACUCACUCUCCACAUUCACAAGCCCGAUCCAUUAGAAAUGUUAGUGUUUUCUCUCUCUCUCUCUCUUUCUCUCUCUCUCUCUCUCUCUCUCUCUCUCUCUCUCUCUCUCUCUCUCUCUCUCUCUCUCUCUCUCUCUCUCUCUCCUCUCUCUCUCUCUCUCUCUCUCUCUGUGUUUAUACUUUAUUCAAGUAUAUCAAUGUAGCAUCAGCUGGAGUUACACAGCAGGACAGGAAGGACUAUUUCCUCAGUUCUUCUAAAAUUGUACAAUUUACAGGAUGUUUGUUUGACCUUACAUGUUAUUGAGCCAGUACAUCUAAAUACAGAUGUUAUUAUCAUUAUGAAGUAAGAAUGAAGUAUGAAUAACUUACCUUAACUUACUUUAAGUCAUUUUGUAGUGCUAUUAGCAGACUUGUUGUACGUUCCAGCAUAAGGGGUGUCACGAUAUACCGGGUAACUGCAAUAUCAAUCUAGUUUAUUGUAAAUCCAUUAGGACAAAAGCGUCAGUAAAAUGUGUUCUAAAAAAUUCAAUAUUGAUAUUUAAUACUACAAUAUGAUAUAUCAUGUAAAUAAUACAGCUACUAUCACACUUUUGUACAGUUUCAGACUCUCGCUCCGCCUUCAUACACCCGUAUAUUGACUGUAAUUAUUUUGCCAAAAAUCACACAAAACGCAAAAUAAACAAAGUUAAAGAUGUAUUUGUCUGAUUUGACUAUUAUUUGAUUGUUUGACUUUUUAUUUAUUUAUAGAUACCGC